RNAcentral lists this ribosomal RNA (400 nucleotides) under Fusobacterium periodonticum. RNAcentral describes it as "bacterial SSU rRNA". It matches the Rfam family "Bacterial small subunit ribosomal RNA", at positions 28 to 437 of the family's 1533-position model. The record is from RNAcentral. Lineage: Bacteria; Fusobacteriati; Fusobacteriota; Fusobacteriia; Fusobacteriales; Fusobacteriaceae.
GACGAACGCUGGCGGCAUGCUUAACACAUGCAAGUCUACUUGAACUUCGGUUUGGGUGGCGGACGGGUGAGUAACGCGUAAAGAACUUGCCUCACAGUUAGGGACAACAUUUGGAAACGAAUGCUAAUACCUGAUAUUAUGAUUUUAGGGCAUCCUAAGAUUAUGAAAGUUAUAUGCGCUGUGAGAGAGCUUUGCGUCCCAUUAGCUAGUUGGAGAGGUAACGGCUCACCAAGGCGAUGAUGGGUAGCCGGCCUGAGAGGGUGAACGGCCACAAGGGGACUGAGACACGGCCCUUACUCCUACGGGAGGCAGCAGUGGGGAAUAUUGGACAAUGGACCAAAAGUCUGAUCCAGCAAUUCCUGUGUGCACGAUGACGUUUUUCGGAAUGUAAAGUGCUUUC